Molecule: ribosomal RNA, 253 nt
Filed under: uncultured bacterium
Lineage: Bacteria
Description: partial 16S ribosomal RNA
Rfam family: Bacterial small subunit ribosomal RNA
Source: RNAcentral
UACAGAGGGUGCGAGCGUUAAUCGGAAUUACUGGGCGUAAAGCGCGCGUAGGCGGCUCUGCAAGUCGGAUGUGAAAUCCCCAGGCUUAACCUGGGAACUGCUUCCGAGACUGCAUCGCUAGAGUAUGGGAGAGGGAAGUGGAAUUUCAGGUGUAGCGGUGAAAUGCGUAGAUAUCUGAAGGAACAUCAGUGGCGAAGGCGAAUCCCUGGAAAAUACCUGACACUGAGGCACGAAAGCUAGGGGAGCAAACAGG